CAGCCCACCUAACCAUCCAUCUCCUGCCUCACGUACAGAGGAGGCAGGGCCAUGGCGUGUCGACCAUCCACCGCCUCCAUGGCUCGAUGGCCGACGUCUGGCGCUACAGGAAGCCUGGGAGAGGAUAAGGGCGAUGCCCCCGACGCCCAAGACAACCCUAGCUCAUUCCUCCCCUUCCCCACGGCCGAUCCCCUCGAUCCCGAGCUCGGUUGUCGCCGCACCUUCGUCGAUCCCGCAACCAUCGACUCCCCAUCGCUGCAUCGCCAUGUCCAUGAGGUUCUUCGUCGUCUGAUUCAUCGUCUCCACCACCGGAUCGACCCCGGGAACCACACGGACGAUGCCCACGUCUUCUUCUUCACCCACGGCCGCCGCGACCAACGCCGUCGAUCUCCACCACCGGCACCUCCCUGCCUCGCCGAGCUCGUCCACGGCCUCCUCAGGAGACAAAUUGGUUGGUGAAGGAGAGGUGCCUGGCAGUGAAACAAAGGGUUCUCCAAAUAGGACCUUUCGGCGGGACUCAAAACGGGGUGCUAAGCAGGAACCAUGUGGCACUGAUAAUGACGGGGAUGGAGAGGAUGAUGACGUGUCCCAGAGAGUAUCUAAAGCAUAUGAAAAAGCACAAGAAUCGUUUUUGGCGCGAAGAGCCGCGGGCCCGCCGCGUCAGCAAGUCUACUCUCUUCUCGCCCCUUCGUCGUCCUCAUCGCCUCGUUUCCCGUGGAGAAUCAAUGCCAAAACUGCCGCGCGCUGCCGCGCCGGUCAGUCUCCAUUGAUGCCUCACGGGUGGCGCAAUAAAGGCUGGGCGACGCGUCCCUCGGCUGCCACGCAAUCACGCCACGCGUAACGCGCCUGCCAAGCCUACCACGCGGCGUCUCCGCCUAUAAAAGCCGACUGCAAGCGCGCCGGAGAGACUCACCCCGAUCAUCCACCGACGACGCGCUCAUUUCUCCCCCUUUCCUCCUCUCGCCGUCACGAGUUGAGAAAGCAUGGCCGAGCGUUUCCCAGGCGAACGGAUUCGGGCGCCGUCAUCUGCACGAGGACGAGGCUCGCCUCCUUUUCGAGGCCGAGUACCCGGUCCCGCCGGACAUGCGGGUGCCCGGGGCGUGGAGGACCAGCGCCGGCGGCGUGCCGGUGCCCCCAGUACCCACCGGCGCGGCGCGGUGUGCGAAGAUCGCACGCAUCCGCUCGUCCCUGCCGCGUGCGGCGAGGGAGGGGCCCCGGUACGUCCCUGUUAGCCCUCUGGGAGCCGUACUUCCGCCGACGGCACGGCGAGCAGCUCGAGGCCACCAACGACGUCGUGCCCUCCGGCAGGUUCAACGCCGCUGGCCGGCAUCGGUGGUGGGGCGUGCCGGGCGCACGUUGGAGUCCGUCCUCGAGUACAUCGAGGGCGGCAACACGCCGCGCCUCGAGUACCCCGCUCCCCCGUCCUUCUCACGCCUCCGGGGAAGCUCCUGGACGCCGAGGCGCAUGGUGACCGGGGUGUCCUCCUCCUCGUCCGGCGGCUCUCCCUGCCUCCACCUCCGCCCCGUCAAGUCGGAGCCCCAGGACACGCCUGUCAGCGCGCGUACCCGCAGCUCCGGCGUCCUCGUCGAGCCCAAGGUGGAGUCCAGCCUCCCCCGGAGUACGAGGAGAUAGCCCGGCGCGGCUUCUCCGACGAGGACGCCAUGCGGUGGUCGCGCGACGACUACCUGCGCGAGGAGAUGAUCCGACAGCGCCGGGCCCUGGAGGAGAUCGCCGCCCGCAAACGUGGGCGCGAGGACGAGGACGGUGUCAUCGUCCUUGAUAGCGACGACGACGACGCCCCCGGACCGUCCAACCCGCCGCGCCAACCGGGGGAGGGAUGCAGCAGGGACGGCGGAGGCGUAGGCGGGGGCGACGACGACGAUGACGACGACGGUGACUACACGCGGUUCUACAGCCUCCUCGGCAUGUAGAACCGCGUGGGCGGGCGGCGAGGCGGGCGGCGAAGGAGACGGCGGGGGUAGCCCGCGGUAGUUUUUUUCUUUUUUUAUAAAAUAUGUUUAAAUUUGAACGAACUCGCCCGUGUUUGCGUUGUGUUUGCACCGAAUUUGAACAUUUUAAAAACCCGUGGGGGCGCGACUGAGGGACAUCACGCCUCCGGUGCGCGGUUUAGCGCCGGUGCGCCUCAGGGGCGAUUUUUUGCCCUUCCUGGAGGGCCAACGGCUGGAGAUGCCUAAGUGCUGGCGCGGGUGUGCUCGUUGGCGGCGUCGCGGGCGCGCAGCUCCCUGAUCUCCUCCUCCCACUUGUCCACCCUCUCCUUGUGGAUCCUGUGACGCACGCAAUACAACAAGUAGUUGGUGAGCACCCGCUCGAGGAGCAAGCAUGACGAUGAUGGGGCUUGCCGCGGCGAGUUUCUUUUCUGACGUGCAGAGGCGGUCCUCGAAGUCGGCGGCGAGGUCCUUGAACAUGGCGCGCCCGGAGUCCAGCAUCUCCGACACCUGCAAUGCCACCGGCAUCACUAGACGAUUAAGGUGGAAUCGGUGGGGGAGGAGGAGAGGGUGAAGAGGCGCACCUUGCGAGUGAAGUUGUCGAUGGCGAGGAGGAUGCGUUGGACGUGCUCCUCCGUCUCCGCCGACCCCACCACCUCAGCCUCUGCCGCCGCCACGACGGCCGUCUCGUCCCCGUCCAUCUCCGUGGCGGCCGCGCGCUGACGGCGACCCCAGAGGACGCCGGCGCUCCCCUGGCUCGCGGUGUCGUCGUUGUCGUUGCUUUGCACAAACGCGUGCAGCAUUCGAUUACUCGCGAACUCGAAAACUUCACGGGAAACUCGAAUUCGACUCCGAAACUCGAUCACCAGCGCGCUCCAAAUGUUUCAGUGGCUUAGGGCCUGUUCGUGAGCUCGCCGAAAAGAGGAGAGUUUUUUUUCCUAAAAUCUAAAAAGUGCACGCGCACCAUUUAGACGGAACGAGCGGCCGGCUCCUGGCCGCUCGAUCCCGCCCUGAAUCGCCGCACGCGUCCAACUUUCGUAGGCUACGAUUUUCCCCGAGUUUCCCAUUCUACCCCUCCGCCGACACGUUCCCCUCUUCCUCGCCCGACGCCACCGACCACUCGCUCCCCACUCGCCCCCGAUCUCUCUCUCUCUCUUGCACGACGCCCCCGCUCGCCUUUCUCUCUCUCUUGCGCGACACCGGCCACCAGUCGCCUCUCUCUCGCGCGCGCGACGCCGCUCUCUCCCCGUUGAUGCGCCCUCUCUCUCCCUCUCGCCGGCAUCUUGCUCCGCACCGCUGCUCACCGCUCCCCACCACCCUGGUUCACACAAAGCUGCCAUUUUUAUUCGCCGGCGAUGCGCUGCUGGGCGAGGAGGAGCUGGAUCCACAUGCGCUGGUCCUCGAUCUGCUUGUGGAUAGGCGUGAGGAGUCGCUGAAGCGGAGCCCGAGCAGCGCCGACGCGGGCGUGAAGACGACGGCGGGAGGAGGUGGAGCCCGAGCGGGAGGAUCUGGAGCCGCAUCUCAAGUAUUGAAGCUACCCCGACGACGCAACGACGCUUGAUGUGGAGCGGCGCCUGAGCCGCGGAGUCGGCGGUCAUAUCCAUGGCGACGGCGACGCCGCCAAAGGUGAUCACGUCGGCCGCCCACUAGUGCAGGAGUUCCGAAGUCGAGGUGAACGACGCCCAUCUUGUAUUGGUUUGAUUCCGAGAAGAUGAAAUGCAGCUUCCCUCCCAGGGCGGCGACGACACCAGCUAUGACUCUCUUGGUCGGGAGAGUGGAAGUGCAAUCGUCGUCGCCCUCUGGGAGAGUGUACCCGCCGACAUCAUACGUGUGCUGCGCCCAUUCCCUGCCGCUUCCUCCAUUGAUUCGGCAGAACCACACGUCAGGGUCGGCGACGUCGAGCAGCACGACGGCGCAGUCAGGAUGCGCCGUGGAGCUGUGGGUGAGGUAGCAGGCGCAGUUGGUGGGGACGUAGUGGUCGUCUCGUAUGGGCGGGAGGGGUAUGGUCUCUCCGGUGACCGGAUGCCACAGCCAGGUCUCCCAUGGGGCGGCCCCGUGGAGGAUGAAGAUCCAGCCCUGCGGGGUGGCGAAGCAUAUCUGGUUGUCCUGCGGGGAUAGCAUGGCGGGUGUCGGCUCCGUGCAUGUUCUCUCUUCCGAUAUGCUAAACAUGAGCAUCUCGGGGGUGUCUUCAUCAUCGUCUCCGGUGGCCGCCGUCGUCUCGUUCCGUGCGGGCUGGUGUUCGAAGACGAGCAGUGGCAAGGAGUUGAGGGCGCCGUGGGGUAGCGCCAUUGCUAGCUGGUCGAUCGUCCUUGAAAUUGAAUUCAGACUCCGGCCGGUACGUGCGCUCUGUCGUCGUCGGUGGACGCGCUCAAUUGUUCUGCCACUGCUCGCUUAUUUCACUCCGUGACUGAUCUACGGACGGUAGACUUUUAUAUAGAAGAAACCUAGGUUUACUGGAGUCCGAGUCGACCAUGUAACCCAAUCUAUUGUACCGAAUCUAAAUUAGACUCCGAGUGUUCGAGUCAGUACGCGAAUAGAAUUUCCCUUUAUUGCCAAA
Molecule: RNA transcript, 4503 nt
Organism: Triticum aestivum (bread wheat)
Lineage: Eukaryota; Viridiplantae; Streptophyta; Magnoliopsida; Poales; Poaceae
Exons: 5
Source: RefSeq, a predicted model, not a curated record